CUACGGGUUGCUCCAGUGAGGAAUAUUGCACAAUGGGGGGAACCCUGAUGCAGCAACGCCGCGUGGAGGAUGACGCAUUUCGGUGUGUAAACUCCUUUUAUGUGUCAAGAAAAUGACGGUAGCAUAUGAAUAAGCACCGGCUAACUCCGUGCCAGCAGCCGCGGUAAUACGGAGGGUGCAAGCGUUACUCGGAAUCACUGGGCGUAAAGGACGCGUAGGCGGGUUGGAAAGUCAGGUGUGAAAUCCUACAGCUUAACUGUAGAACUGCACUUGAAACUUCUAAUCUAGAGUAUGGGAGGGGGAGAUGGAAUUAGUGGUGUAGGGGUAAUAUCCGUAGAUAUCACUAGGAAUACCUAAAGCGAAGGCGAUCUCCUGGAACAUUACUGACGCUAAGGCGUGAAAGCGUGGGGAGCAAACAGGAUUAGAUACCCGGGUAGUC
Molecule: ribosomal RNA, 439 nt
Filed under: uncultured bacterium
Lineage: Bacteria
Description: partial 16S ribosomal RNA
Rfam family: Bacterial small subunit ribosomal RNA
Source: RNAcentral